CCUGAGACGCUCCUCCUCUGCUUUCAAUCUGAACGGACAGACCCGAGGGAGGGAAGCAGAGUCAGAGCUGUGAGAACAUAUACUCAGCGCAGCCCUCUUCUGAGCCAUGUUGUCCUCGGCCUUCCCAUCCUCCUGAGCCGUGAGGGAAACAGAGCCAGUCAAGUUCCACAGCUUCGGGUGCCGAGGUUUCCAUCAACAAAAGACAUUGAGGUCGACCUCUUCAUAUCUCCUGCAGAAGAAUGAAUAAAGAAGAAUGCAAGCAGUCUCGGUUUCACAAAAGACGGCUUGACCACCUCAAACCACCAAAACAGCUCUGCCAUGAACACCAGCAGGUGUCUCUGUUGACCCCCACAGAUACCAGUAAUAUAUUUAUCUUCCAGUCUGCGUAUAAAUAAUUCACCAACCUCGCUCCAUUUCAGAGAAUCCUCUCAAGAACUAGAUCAAACUACAGUGCAGCAUUUUAUGAGGGAAUAUAUCUUUAACAGGCUUGAGUGAGGUUGAUUUCAUUUCAUUGUUGCCUCCCUGACUCCACAGAGAGACUAACAGGUAACGAGACAACAUGGUAACAUGGCUUUUCACAUGCUAGGGAUAAGCCAAUCAUCCACUUAGUAAAUAAUGUCAGUAGACCUGUGGUAGUUGAGAGGAGCAUUAACCUAAUUUAUAGAUUAUUUUUAAUUUAUAAAAAGGUCAGAUUUGUUUUUGUUCAGCAGGUAAACCACCAGCCAGCCUGAAUUAGACAGAUGAGAACUGUUGGAGGCAUUUUCUCCAUUGCUGUGCUGUGUCAUGUCAAAUCAUUAAUCAGGUCAACGAACAGUAGGAGGUCAAGCCUCUACUGAGGACUGUGUACUGCAUAAAUACCCACCUGACAUAGUCACUGUACCCAUGAGGUUUCUUAUGAAUAUUAUGCUUAUUUUCUAAGUAAAGAUGUUUGAAAUGUGAGACUAUAACAUUUGUUUUGUAGAGUAACACUAAAGUAAAAGAGUAAUGAAAAAAUGUCACAUAGUUUGUGCUUUAUGCAAGUGCUGUAACUCAUAUCUUUGCUAUCAUGUGUGAAAUAGU
This is a non-coding RNA of Paralichthys olivaceus (Japanese flounder), 1059 nucleotides long. Lineage: Eukaryota; Metazoa; Chordata; Actinopteri; Pleuronectiformes; Paralichthyidae. The record is from RefSeq and is a predicted model, not a curated record.